ACAGCAGUCGCCACGGUAAUACGAAGGGUGCAAGCGUUACUCGGAAUUACUGGGCGUAAAGCGUGCGUAGGUGGUGGUUUAAGUCCGUUGUGAAAGCCCUGGGCUCAACCUGGGAAUUGCAGUGGAUACUGGGUCACUAGAGUGUGGUAGAGGAUAGUGGAAUUUCCGGUGUAGCAGUGAAAUGCGUAGAGAUCGGAAGGAACAUCUGUGGCGAAGGCGACUAUCUGGGCCAACACUGACACUGAGGCACGAAAGCGUGGGGAGCAAACAGGAUUAGAUACCCGUGUAGUCCCUGUCUCUUAUAA
RNAcentral lists this ribosomal RNA (305 nucleotides) under uncultured bacterium. RNAcentral describes it as "partial 16S ribosomal RNA". It matches the Rfam family "Bacterial small subunit ribosomal RNA", at positions 505 to 809 of the family's 1533-position model. The record is from RNAcentral.